GACGAACGCUGGCGGCGUGCUUAACACAUGCAAAUCGAACGGAAAGGCCCUGCUUUUGUGGGGUGCUCGAGUGGCGAACGGGUGAGUAACACGUGAGUAACCUGCCCUUGACUUUGGGAUAACUUCAGGAAACUGGGGCUAAUACCGGAUAGGAGCUCCUGCUGCAUGGUGGGGGUUGGAAAGUUUCGGCGGUUGGGGAUGGACUCGCGGCUUAUCAGCUUGUUGGUGGGGUAGUGGCUUACCAAGGCUUUGACGGGUAGCCGGCCUGAGAGGGUGACCGGCCACAUUGGGACUGAGAUACGGCCCAGACUCCUACGGGAGGCAGCAGUGGGGAAUAUUGCACAAUGGGCGGAAGCCUGACGCAGCAACGCCGCGUGCGGGAUGACGGCCUUCGGGUUGUAAACCGCUUUCGCCUGUGACGAAGCGUGAGUGACGGUAAUGGGUAAAGAAGCACCGGCUAACUACGUG
Molecule: ribosomal RNA, 468 nt
Filed under: uncultured bacterium
Lineage: Bacteria
Description: partial 16S ribosomal RNA
Rfam family: Bacterial small subunit ribosomal RNA
Source: RNAcentral